Molecule: ribosomal RNA, 700 nt
Filed under: uncultured bacterium
Lineage: Bacteria
Description: bacterial SSU rRNA
Rfam family: Bacterial small subunit ribosomal RNA
Source: RNAcentral
AGUGGCGGACGGGUGAGUAACGCGUAAGAAUCUAACUUCAGGACGGGGACAACAGUUGGAAACGACUGCUAAUACCCGAUGUGCCGCAAGGUGAAACCUAAUUGGCCUGGAGAAGAGCUUGCGUCUGAUUAGCUAGUUGGUGGGGUAAAGGCCUACCAAGGCGACGAUCAGUAGCUGGUCUGAGAGGAUGAGCAGCCACACUGGGACUGAGACACGGCCCAGACUCCUACGGGAGGCAGCAGUGGGGAAUUUUCCGCAAUGGGCGAAAGCCUGACGGAGCAACGCCGCGUGAGGGAGGAAGGUCUUUGGAUUGUAAACCUCUUUUCUCAAGGAAGAAGUUCUGACGGUACUUGAGGAAUCAGCCUCGGCUAACUCCGUGCCAGCAGCCGCGGUAAUACGGGGGAGGCAAGCGUUAUCCGGAAUUAUUGGGCGUAAAGCGUCCGCAGGUGGUCAGCCAAGUCUGCCGUCAAAUCAGGUUGCUUAACGACCUAAAGGCGGUGGAAACUGGCAGACUAGAGAGCAGUAGGGGUAGCAGGAAUUCCCAGUGUAGCGGUGAAAUGCGUAGAGAUUGGGAAGAACAUCGGUGGCGAAAGCGUGCUACUGGGCUGUAUCUGACACUCAGGGACGAAAGCUGGGGGAGCGAAAGGGGUUAGAUACCCCUGUAGUCCUAGCCGUAAACGAUGGAUACUAGGCGUGGCUU